RNAcentral lists this transfer RNA (70 nucleotides) under Plesionika izumiae. RNAcentral describes it as "tRNA-Ser". It matches the Rfam family "tRNA". Rfam says of the family: Transfer RNA (tRNA) molecules are approximately 80 nucleotides in length. Their secondary structure includes four short double-helical elements and three loops (D, anti-codon, and T loops). The record is from RNAcentral. Lineage: Eukaryota; Metazoa; Arthropoda; Malacostraca; Decapoda; Pandalidae.
GAUUAUUUAUCUUUUAGGAAAGUCAAUGUUUUGAAAACAUUUAAAAAGAGUUCGAAUCUCUUAAUAAUCA